AUUGAACGCUGGCGGCAUGCUUUACACAUGCAAGUCGAACGGUAACAGGUUAAGCUGACGAGUGGCGAACGGGUGAGUAAUGCAUCGGAACGUGCCCGGUCGUGGGGGAUAACGCAGCGAAAGCUGCGCUAAUACCGCAUACGAUCUGAGGAUGAAAGCGGGGGACCGUAAGGCCUCGCGCGAUCGGAGCGGCCGAUGUCAGCUUAGGUGGUGGGUGGGGUAAAGGCUCACCAAGCCAACGAUCUGUAGCUGGUCUGAGAGGACGACCAGCCACACUGGGACUGAGACACGGCCCAGACUCCUACGGGAGGCAGCAGUGGGGAAUUUUGGACAAUGGGCGAAAGCCUGAUCCAGCAAUGCCGCGUGCAGGAAGAAGGCCUUCGGGUUGUAAACUGCUUUUGUACGGAGCGAAAAGGUCUCCUCUAAUACAGGGGGCUCAUGACGGUACCGUAAGAAUAAGCACCGGCUAACUACGUGCCAGCCGCCGCGGUAA
This 493-nucleotide ribosomal RNA is filed under the name uncultured bacterium. Its description in RNAcentral is "partial 16S ribosomal RNA". It matches the Rfam family "Bacterial small subunit ribosomal RNA", at positions 29 to 523 of the family's 1533-position model. The record is from RNAcentral.